UGAGGAAUAUUGGUCAAUGGGCGUAAGCCUGAACCAGCCAUCCCGCGUGCAGGAAGAAGGCGCUAUGCGUCGUAAACUGCUUUUCCGGAGGAAGAAAACCCCUGACGUGUCGGGGCUUGCCGGUACUCUGGGAAUAAGCAUCGGCUAACUCCGUGCCAGCAGCCGCGGUAAUACGGAGGAUGCGAGCGUUAUCCGGAUUUAUUGGGUUUAAAGGGUGCGUAGGCGGAAUAAUAAGUCAGUGGUGAAAACCUUCAGCUUAACUGGAGACUUGCCAUUGAUACUGUUAGUCUUGAGUACGGUCAAGGUAGGCGGAAUGUGUAAUGUAGCGGUGAAAUGCUUAGAUAUUACACAGAACACCGAUUGCGAAGGCAGCUUACUGGGCCGCAACUGACGCUGAUGCACGAAAGCGUGGGGAGCGAACA
RNAcentral lists this ribosomal RNA (422 nucleotides) under uncultured prokaryote. RNAcentral describes it as "bacterial SSU rRNA". It matches the Rfam family "Bacterial small subunit ribosomal RNA", at positions 355 to 774 of the family's 1533-position model. The record is from RNAcentral.